GGGCGUGUGGUCUAGUGGUAUGAUUCUCGCUUUGGGCGCUAGUUACUUUGUAACAACACGCAAGUAUGCGAGAGGCCCUGGGUUCAAUUCCCAGCUCGCCCC
Non-coding RNA from Lizanozyma spartinae, 102 nucleotides. Lineage: Eukaryota; Fungi; Ascomycota; Pichiomycetes; Serinales; Debaryomycetaceae. The record is from the annotation of a RefSeq genome assembly.